RNAcentral lists this ribosomal RNA (1142 nucleotides) under Micrococcus luteus. RNAcentral describes it as "bacterial SSU rRNA". It matches the Rfam family "Bacterial small subunit ribosomal RNA", at positions 97 to 1250 of the family's 1533-position model. The record is from RNAcentral. Lineage: Bacteria; Bacillati; Actinomycetota; Actinomycetes; Micrococcales; Micrococcaceae.
GGCGAACGGGUGAGUAACACGUGAGUAACCUGCCCUUAACUCUGGGAUAAGCCUGGGAAACUGGGUCUAAUACCGGAUAGGAGCGCCGACCGCAUGGUGGGUGUUGGAAAGAUUUAUCGGUUUUGGAUGGACUCGCGGCCUAUCAGCUUGUUGGUGAGGUAAUGGCUCACCAAGGCGACGACGGGUAGCCGGCCUGAGAGGGUGACCGGCCACACUGGGACUGAGACACGGCCCACACUCCUACGGGAGGCAGCAGUGGGGAAUAUUGCACAAUGGGCGCAAGCCUGAUGCAGCGACGCCGCGUGAGGGAUGACGGCCUUCGGGUUGUAAACCUCUUUCAGUAGGGAAGAAGCGAAAGUGACGGUACCUGCAGAAAAAGCACCGGCUAACUACGUGCCAGCAGCCGCGGUAAUACGUAGGGUGCGAGCGUUAUCCGGAAUUAUUGGGCGUAAAGAGCUCGUAGGCGGUUUGUCGCGUCUGUCGUGAAAGUCCGGGGCUUAACCCCGGAUCUGCGGUGGGUACGGGCAGACUAGAGUGCAGUAGGGGAGACUGGAAUUCCUGGUGUAGCGGUGGAAUGCGCAGAUAUCAGGAGGAACACCGAUGGCGAAGGCAGGUCUCUGGGCUGUAACUGACGCUGAGGAGCGAAAGCAUGGGGAGCGAACAGGAUUAGAUACCCUGGUAGUCCAUGCCGUAAAACGUUGGGCACUAGGUGUGGGGACCAUUCCACGGUUUCCGCGCCGCAGCUAACGCAUUAAGUGCCCCGCCUGGGGAGUACGGCCGCAAGGCUAAAACUCAAAGGAAUUGACGGGGGCCCGCACAAGCGGCGGAGCAUGCGGAUUAUUUCGAUGCAACGCGAAGAACCUUACCAAGGCUUGACAUGUUCUCGAUCGCCGUAGAGAUACGGUUUCCCCUUUGGGGCGGGUUCACAGGUGGUGCAUGGUUGUCGUCAGCUCGUGUCGUGAGAUGUUGGGUUAAGUCCCGCAACGAGCGCAACCCUCGUUCCAUGUUGCCAGCACGUAAUGGUGGGGACUCAUGGGAGACUGCCGGGGUCAACUCGGAGGAAGGUGAGGAGGACGUCAAAUCAUCAUGCCCCCUAUGUCUUGGGGUUCACGCACGCUACAAUGGCCGGUACAAAGGGGUGC